AGUGAACGCUGGCGGCAGGCCUAACACAUGCAAGUCGAACGGCAGCACAGUAAGAGCUUGCUCUUACGGGUGGCGAGUGGCGGACGGGUGAGGAAUACAUCGGAAUCUACUUUUUCGUGGGGGAUAACGUAGGGAAACUUACGCUAAUACCGCAUACGACCUACGGGUGAAAGCAGGGGAUCUUCGGACCUUGCGCGAUUGAAUGAGCCGAUGUCGGAUUAGCUAGUUGGCGGGGUAAAGGCCCACCAAGGCGACGAUCCGUAGCUGGUCUGAGAGGAUGAUCAGCCACACUGGAACUGAGACACGGUCCAGACCCCUACGGGAGGCAGCAGUGGGGAAUAUUGGACAAUGGGCGCAAGCCUGAUCCAGCCAUACCGCGUGGGUGAAGAAGGCCUUCGGGUUGUAAAGCCCUUUUGUUGGGAAAGAAAAGCAGCAGGUUAAUACCCCGCUGUUCUGACGGUACCCAAAGAAUAAGCACCGGCUAACUUCGUG
RNAcentral lists this ribosomal RNA (492 nucleotides) under uncultured bacterium. RNAcentral describes it as "partial 16S ribosomal RNA". It matches the Rfam family "Bacterial small subunit ribosomal RNA", at positions 29 to 507 of the family's 1533-position model. The record is from RNAcentral.